AAGUAGUGAAGUAAAAAUUUUACAUUUAGUUUCGACCUAAAAUAAAAGACCUAUUCUUCUUACUUU
Molecule: transfer RNA, 66 nt
Filed under: Haedus sp.
Lineage: Eukaryota; Metazoa; Arthropoda; Insecta; Hemiptera; Tingidae
Description: tRNA-Arg
Source: RNAcentral